This 459-nucleotide ribosomal RNA is filed under the name uncultured Treponema sp. RNAcentral describes it as "bacterial SSU rRNA". It matches the Rfam family "Bacterial small subunit ribosomal RNA", at positions 341 to 792 of the family's 1533-position model. Lineage: Bacteria; Pseudomonadati; Spirochaetota; Spirochaetia; Treponematales; Treponemataceae. The record is from RNAcentral.
ACGGAAGGCAGCAGCUAAGAAUAUUCCGCAAUGGACGAAAGUCUGACGGAGCGACGCCGCGUGGAUGAAGAAGGCCGGAAGGUUGUAAAAUCCUUUUAAACAGGAAGAAUAAGUACUGAAGGGAAUGUCAGUAUGGUGACGGUACUGUUUGAAUAAGCAACGGCUAAUUACGUGCCAGCAGCCGCGGUAACACGUAAGUUGCGAGCGUUGUUCGGAAUUAUUGGGCGUAAAGGGUAUGUAGGCGGUUCUGAAAGCUUGGUGUGAAAGGCAGAGGCUUAACCUCUGGACUGCAUUGAGAACUGCAGGACUAGAGUGACUGAGGGGCAGGCAGAAUUCCAGGUGUAGGGGUGAAAUCUGUAGAUAUCUGGAAGAAUACCAAUGGCGAAGGCAGCCUGCCAGCAGAUGACUGACGCUGAGGUGCGAAGGUGCGGGGAGCAAACAGGAUUAGAUACCCUGGUA